This 85-nucleotide small RNA is filed under the name Arabidopsis thaliana (thale cress). RNAcentral's name for it is "ATSL197350". Lineage: Eukaryota; Viridiplantae; Streptophyta; Magnoliopsida; Brassicales; Brassicaceae. The record is from RNAcentral.
UGUUUGAAGAUACAAAGCCAAAGACUCAUACCGACUUCAGCUACACCAUCAAAGCUUUGUGAGGCAAUAAGAAGCUUGGUUAGUU